Molecule: non-coding RNA, 46 nt
Filed under: Schistosoma curassoni
Lineage: Eukaryota; Metazoa; Platyhelminthes; Trematoda; Strigeidida; Schistosomatidae
Source: RNAcentral
GCACUGCCGAGGUGUCCCACAAUAGGACGAAACGGUCGUCCAGUGC